UACGUAGGGCGCAAGCGUUAAUCGGAAUUACUGGGCGUAAAGCGUGCGCAGGCGGUGAUGUAAGUCAGGUGUGAAAUCCCAGGGCUCAACCUUGGAACUGCAUUUGUGACUGCAUCGCUGGAGUGCGGCAGAGGGGGAUGGAAUUCCGCGUGUAGCAGUGAAAUGCGUAGAUAUGCGGAGGAACACCGAUGGCGAAGGCAAUCCCCUGGGCCUGCACUGACGCUCAUGCACGAAAGCGUGGGGAGCAAACAGG
RNAcentral lists this ribosomal RNA (253 nucleotides) under uncultured bacterium. Its description in RNAcentral is "partial 16S ribosomal RNA". It matches the Rfam family "Bacterial small subunit ribosomal RNA", at positions 524 to 776 of the family's 1533-position model. The record is from RNAcentral.